Molecule: long non-coding RNA, 1433 nt
Filed under: Homo sapiens (human)
Lineage: Eukaryota; Metazoa; Chordata; Mammalia; Primates; Hominidae
Description: HSALNT0312074
Source: RNAcentral
UAAAGGGCCGCCUUGGGGCGCGAAAAGUUCGUGAGGUGUAGUCGCGGCAACCAGGAGCAGGUGCACCCACCACUAGAAUUUGAACAUCCUAAGAACAGGUAUUUUUGUCUCUGCUUUGCUGAUGUAUCCUCAGCAACCGGAACUGCCUGACAUCUGAUCCUUUCUGUGAGACACCAGGCUGUUGAGGAAGAAUCUAUGGCAACAUUGUAUCUAUUAAUAUACAGCUUCUGUAUUUAUCAGGCCCAGUUCUGGUGAUGAUUUCACUUUUGACAGAAGCUGUCCCUCAAAAGCAAACAUGCAAUAGAAGAAACAGAUCUCAAUGCCAUCCAUCUGCAGUUGUGACAAGCAAAAAAGUCUCCAGACAUGGCCAAAUGUCCCCUGGGGGGCAAAAUCACCCCCAAUUGAGAACUACUGCUCUAAACUUGAUGUUCAUAUCAGCAGUACAGCGCUGGACUUCCUAGUGAAGAAAACAGCAAGAUUAUAGACACAGUUUAGAAACAAAGGAACACCAUAUACAUUUAAAGGCAUAAAGUAUUUACUCACUCCCUGGCCACAGCCACCGUUACCUUCUCAAUCCCAACUUCGGAUAUAAUUAUUGAUAUAUUUAUAACGAGUUUAUGAAGAAUGUGAAAAAGAUCUGACCACCCUAGCUAUGGACUGAAGUUGGAGCCUCUUUUCUAAUAUAAUGCAAUUGACCAAGACUGCUUGGGAGCAGCUGUCAGUAUUGUUUAAAGCUGUCAUUCAAUAUGGCCAAACUCUUUGUUAUCUAAAACCCCUUGUCUGAUCUGUUGCCUCUGUUUCACUUUUCCAAUUAGAUGAAUGACAGAAACAAAAAAUCGUAAUAAAUAUUGUCAAAUCUGAUUUUAUUAGAACCCAUGGGGUUUGCCUGAGGCCUUCUGAUUUUGUCAUGUAGAUAAUAAUGUCAUCUGUAAUUCCUUGCAGUACUGCCUGGCUCAUUUAGAUGCUGAUAAUAUCAUCUGAUCUGGGAGUGGCUUUUCUCUAUCAGAACUGCCAUUUCAAAGUUAACAGGAUUUUAGUGUGUUAAAAACCCUUUAAAGAGACACUGGCCAAUGGAGUAUGCAUUGUAAAUUUACCUAUUCAGAACUUGAUAAAUAGUUUAAGCUUGUUUAUAUUUUACUCCCUAUGUAACAAAGCUAGAAUUCUCAAAAAGAACAGUUUGAAUCUUAACAGGCACAUAAGCAUAGGAGAAGGCCAACAUAAAACAGGUGUAAAAUAAAGCAAAAAAUCGAAGACUGAACAAACCCUAAAAAUUGAUGUAACGAGAAUUUUAGGGAGGUGAUGUAGGCUAAAUCACUUCCUACCUACAGUCAUUGAUGCAAGAGGCUAUUUAAAGAGCACUUAAAGACCUACUGUCCUACUAUACUGUGGCUCAAUUCAAAAAAAUAAUGCAACAAAACUUCUAGAAAUCUUUC